AUAUUGUUUUAAUUAUCUAUUUAUGGUAACCUACUGUUUGUUAACAGGGCACAAAACCGCCUCCUAAGCGGUAGGUCGCGCGUUCGAUUCGCGCUCGGGGCACCA
This 105-nucleotide transfer RNA is filed under the name Acidithiobacillus ferriphilus. RNAcentral describes it as "tRNA-Arg". The record is from RNAcentral. Lineage: Bacteria; Pseudomonadati; Pseudomonadota; Acidithiobacillia; Acidithiobacillales; Acidithiobacillaceae.